Molecule: small nuclear RNA, 106 nt
Filed under: Dasypus novemcinctus (nine-banded armadillo)
Lineage: Eukaryota; Metazoa; Chordata; Mammalia; Cingulata; Dasypodidae
Source: RNAcentral
GUGCUCACUUUGGCAACACAUAAACUAAAAUUGGAAUGAUACAGAGACAAUUACCAUGGCCCUGUGCAAGGAUGCCAUGGAAGUUCAUGAAGCAUUCCAUAUUUUU